Bacteroides eggerthii 1_2_48FAA is the source of this 31-nucleotide non-coding RNA. NCBI's taxonomy places the organism in Bacteria, Pseudomonadati, Bacteroidota, Bacteroidia, Bacteroidales, Bacteroidaceae. The record is from Rfam.
GAUUGUAAUUUCUUCUCUACAAUCGCGGCUG